CGUUGAAACACCGAUUCCCGUACGAACACCGAAAUUGAGCAACGUCGAGACCGGUCAUUACCUAGAUGGGUGACCGCUUGGGAAUACCAGGUGCUGUAAG
Non-coding RNA from Acanthosepion pharaonis, 100 nucleotides. NCBI's taxonomy places the organism in Eukaryota, Metazoa, Mollusca, Cephalopoda, Sepiida, Sepiidae. The record is from the annotation of a GenBank genome assembly.